GAUGAACGCUGGCGGCGUGCCUAAUACAUGCAAGUCGAGCGAAUGGAUUAAGAGCUUGCUCUUAUGAAGUUAGCGGCGGACGGGUGAGUAACACGUGGGUAACCUGCCCAUAAGACUGGGAUAACUCCGGGAAACCGGGGCUAGUACCGGAUAACAUUUUGAACCGCAUGGUUCGAAAUUGAAAGGCGGCUUCGGCUGUCACUUAAGGAUGAACCCGCGUCGCAUUAGCUAGUUGGUGAGGUAACGGCUCACCAAGGCAACGAUGCGUAGCCGACCUGGGAGGGUGAUCGGCCACACUGGGACUGAGACACGGCCCAGACUCCUACGGGAGGCAGCAGUAGGGAAUCUUCCGCAAUGGACGAAAGUCUGACGGAGCAACGCCGCGUGAGUGAUGAAGGCUUUCGGGUCGUAAAACUCUGUUGUUAGGGAAGAACGAGUGCUAGUUGAAUAAGCUGGCACCUUGACGGUACCUAACCAGAAAGCCACGGCUAACUACGUGCCAGCCGCCGCGGUAA
RNAcentral lists this ribosomal RNA (515 nucleotides) under uncultured bacterium. RNAcentral's name for it is "partial 16S ribosomal RNA". It matches the Rfam family "Bacterial small subunit ribosomal RNA", at positions 28 to 523 of the family's 1533-position model. The record is from RNAcentral.